RNAcentral lists this transfer RNA (73 nucleotides) under Paramuricea clavata. It matches the Rfam family "tRNA". Rfam says of the family: Transfer RNA (tRNA) molecules are approximately 80 nucleotides in length. Their secondary structure includes four short double-helical elements and three loops (D, anti-codon, and T loops). Lineage: Eukaryota; Metazoa; Cnidaria; Anthozoa; Malacalcyonacea; Plexauridae. The record is from Rfam by way of RNAcentral.
ACCUCUGUAGCUCAGUUGGUUAAAGCACUGCACCGGAAUCGCAGGGCCGCAGGUUUGAUUCCUGCCAGAGGAC